Molecule: ribosomal RNA, 455 nt
Filed under: uncultured bacterium
Lineage: Bacteria
Description: bacterial SSU rRNA
Rfam family: Bacterial small subunit ribosomal RNA
Source: RNAcentral
GAUGAACGCUAGCUACAGGCUUAACACAUGCAAGUCGAGGGGCAGCAUUUCGCUAGCAAUAGUGAAGAUGGCGACCGGCGCACGGGUGAGUAACGCGUAUGUAAUCUGCCUGUAACAGAGGGAUAACCCGGAGAAAUCCGGCCUAAUACCUCAUAGCACAUAUUAUUCGCAUGAGUUUUAUGUUAAAGAGACUCGGUUACAGAUGAACAUGCGUUCCAUUAGCUGGUUGGCGGGGUAACGGCCCACCAAGGCAACGAUGGAUAGGGGUUCUGAGAGGAAGGUCCCCCACACUGGUACUGAGACACGGACCAGACUCCUACGGGAGGCAGCAGUGAGGAAUAUUGGUCAAUGGGCGAGAGCCUGAACCAGCCAAAGUCGCGUGGAGGAAGACUGCCCUACGGGUUGUAAACUCCUUAUACCUGGGAAUAACGGGGCGCUACGCGUAGCGCUGUGCA